GGCUCAGAGCGAACGUUAGCGGCGGGCCUAACACAUGCAAGUCGAACGCGAAAGGUCUUCGGACUGAGUAGAGUGGCGCACGGGUGAGUAACACGUAGGUAAUCUACCCUUUGGCGGGGGAUAACGUUCCGAAAGGAGCGCUAAUACCGCAUAAGACCACGGAGUCUCCGGACGCUGUGGGAAAAGGUGGCCUCUUCUUGAAAGCUAUCACCGAAGGAUGAGCCUGCGUCCCAUCAGCUAGUUGGUAAGGUAAUGGCUUACCAAGGCGAAGACGGGUAGCUGGUUUGAGAGAAUGAUCAGCCACACUGGCACUGGAACACGGGCCAGACUCCUACGGGAGGCAGCAGUGAGGAAUAUUGGGCAAUGGGCGAAAGCCUGACCCAGCCACGCCGCGUGAGUGAUGAAGGCCCUCGGGUCGUAAAGCUCUGUGGAGAGGGACGAAAACCCUGGUUUCAAAUAGGCUCCAGGCUUGACGGUACCUCUUUAGCAAGCACCGGCUAACUCUGUG
RNAcentral lists this ribosomal RNA (508 nucleotides) under uncultured bacterium. RNAcentral describes it as "bacterial SSU rRNA". It matches the Rfam family "Bacterial small subunit ribosomal RNA", at positions 21 to 507 of the family's 1533-position model. The record is from RNAcentral.